CGCCCCCGUUGUGUAGCGGCCUAGCACGCCGCCCUCUCAAGGCGGUAGCGCCGGUUCGAAUCCGGUCGGGCCUCGGCCA
This 79-nucleotide transfer RNA is filed under the name Nocardioides sp. Root1257. RNAcentral's name for it is "tRNA-Glu". The stretch from base 5 to 70 matches the Rfam family "tRNA". Rfam says of the family: Transfer RNA (tRNA) molecules are approximately 80 nucleotides in length. Their secondary structure includes four short double-helical elements and three loops (D, anti-codon, and T loops). Further hydrogen bonds mediate the characteristic L-shaped molecular structure. tRNAs have two regions of fundamental functional importance: the anti-codon, which is responsible for specific mRNA codon recognition, and the 3' end, to which the tRNAs corresponding amino acid is attached (by aminoacyl-tRNA synthetases). tRNAs cope with the degeneracy of the genetic code in two manners: having more than one tRNA (with a specific anti-codon) for a particular amino acid; and 'wobble' base-pairing, i.e. permitting non-standard base-pairing at the 3rd anti-codon position. Lineage: Bacteria; Bacillati; Actinomycetota; Actinomycetes; Propionibacteriales; Nocardioidaceae. The record is from RNAcentral.